Podarcis raffonei (Aeolian wall lizard) is the source of this 627-nucleotide long non-coding RNA. RefSeq lists it as uncharacterized. The transcript has 2 exons. The record is from RefSeq and is a predicted model, not a curated record. Lineage: Eukaryota; Metazoa; Chordata; Lepidosauria; Squamata; Lacertidae.
UAGGACUAUUUGUCUUCGAAGUAGUGUUCAGAUUCGCAACUUCUGAGUGAAGAUCUGCAUCUUUGUUGGCUGCUGAAAAUGAAAAGGCAACAUCACUAUCAAGCACAGGCUGAAGGACUUCGCCCUGUUGCUUCCUGCACUGCUCUUUAUAUCCGAAAUCAAGUCAAACUAUAUGGAACGGCCCCUUUUCUCCAGAAGCGUUGCAGACAAUCAUGGGAUUGCAACAAAAAGUCUGGUAUUUCCGCACUUAGGCUCCUCAGCUAGGAUGCCUCCUUUGCGUGGGCCUUCUCUUUUGUCUUAACUGACCUCUCCCGGAGCCAGUUCCACUGGCUGCUGCUUGUGGGUUUGCUUUGUAGCUCUGCAGCUUUGCCUCCAUUUUCAGUAAAUCCAUGAUGUUCCCUUUCUCUUUGUUAUAUACUAAGCUUGGAUCCUAGAACAAUAGGCAAGUAGGAUCCUAGAAUGUAACAACUGAUUGGCCUGCAGGAAAAGACCAAUCAGUCUCCAGGAGGGAAGCAGAACCAGCCAAUCAGAUGGGACUCAUUGUGUAAAUAAUGUAUAUAAAAGCCUGAGGUUUGGGGGGCAACUCAUUCACUGUUUUACAAGCUUCAAUAAAGAGCAUGAACUCAC